CGUGCCCUUGGCACAAUCUGAUGCAAAAACAAAAAUUUGGGUCUACCGUCAACCGCGACGUCACUCGACAGUUCGAAACAGUCUACACCCUUCUGUAAAAUAAACUCGGCAUCCCAGCACGAGCGUAAACCCAUCCUACACUAAUCUGGGUAUCUACCGCAUACAAACUACAGCAAUACAAACAAACCACAGCUCCUAAAGCUAAAUCUGAUAGUUUUCAGAAACUGACAGUGUAGGAUCUAUAGUUUUCUCCUAAGACAAUUCCAAGUCCAACAUGUAAAAUUAUACUACUACUUAACUAAAAAUUUGAAUUUUAAGCCUAAUUCAUGAAUCCGAGUGUUAAGGAUUUUAUAGGUUGGCGAAUUUCGUAAAGUUGUUUGGAGUCUUGAAGAGUUGAUCACAAAAGUUUUGGAGAAGAGAUUCAAAUUGGAGG
This 433-nucleotide long non-coding RNA is filed under the name Ananas comosus (pineapple). RNAcentral describes it as "long non-coding RNA (ACOM_LNC042702)". Lineage: Eukaryota; Viridiplantae; Streptophyta; Magnoliopsida; Poales; Bromeliaceae. The record is from RNAcentral.